AUGGCAAAAUAUUGGUGGAGCAGCUCUAUUGAUAGGCGGUCCUUGCACUAGCUGUCAUGGAAGAAUUUGUCAACACCAAAGGUUCAAGGGGGCAUGGGGUUCAAAGAGUUCGAAAAGUUUAAUCUGGCGCUCCUGGGGAAACACGGCUGGCGACUCAUAACCCAUCCCAACUCCCUCUGCUCUCGAGUUCUCAAAGGGAAAUAUUUCCCGGAUUGUGAUUUUAUGCAAGCCAACGCUCCAUCCACUUCGUUAGCAACCUGGAAAGCAAUCAUUGCGGGGAGAAAGGCUUUGCAAACGGGUUUGAUCAAACGAGUUGGCAUCAGAGAUUCAAUCUCCAUAUGGAACGAUUCUUGGAUCCCC
Molecule: ribosomal RNA, 360 nt
Filed under: Triticum aestivum (bread wheat)
Lineage: Eukaryota; Viridiplantae; Streptophyta; Magnoliopsida; Poales; Poaceae
Description: partial small subunit ribosomal RNA
Source: RNAcentral